GCCUGCAGCCAAACCAGAUCUGCCUGUGAUCUUGUCAGGUUUCACAAGGUAAGCAGUGUCAGGCCUGGUUAGUACAUAAAUGGGAGACCUCCGGGGGGAAGUAAUAUCCUGAUGUUGCAGGAU
Molecule: ribosomal RNA, 123 nt
Filed under: Pogona vitticeps (central bearded dragon)
Lineage: Eukaryota; Metazoa; Chordata; Lepidosauria; Squamata; Agamidae
Source: RNAcentral